GGCUAAGUUAUUUAGGGCGCACGGUGGAUGCCUUGGCACAAGAAGCCGAUGAAGGACGUGUGAAUCUGCGAUAAGCCUCGGGGAGCCGAUAACAGGGCCGUGAUCCGAGGGUCUCCGAAUGGGGAAACCCCGCUGCCUGGAUGAUAAGGGCAGUGACCCGCACCUGAAUGUAUAGGGUGUGUGGAGGGAACGAGGGGAAGUGAAACAUCUCAGUACCCUCAGGAAGAGAAAAUAACGAAUGAUUCUGUGAGUAGUGGCGAGCGAAAGCGGAUGAGACUAAACCUUUGGUGUGUGAUACCGGUAAGGGGUUGCAUCAGGGGGGUUGUGGGAUGUGUCUGACCGGUUCUUACUUGGCCGGUGGCGUUGAUCGCGGGGGUAGGCGAAGCAUCUGGGAAGGUGCACUGGAAAGGGUGAGAGUCCCGUAGCCGAAACUUCUGUUGGUCGCGUUUGGACGCUGUUCCCGAGUAGCACGGGGCCCGUGAAAUCUCGUGUGAAUCUGCCAGGACCACCUGGUAAGUCUAAAUACUUUCUUGUGACCGAUAGUGAAUCAGUACCGUGAGGGAAUGGUGAAAAGUACCCCGGGAGGGGAGUGAAAUAGUACCUGAAACCGUGUGCCUACAAGCCGUCAGAGCAUUGCCUUGUGUGGUGUGAUGGCGUGCCUUUUGAAGAAUGAGCCUGCGAGUUAGUGCUGUGUCGCGAGGUUAACCCGUGUGGGGUAGCCGUAGCGAAAGCGAGUCUGAAUAGGGCGUUUACAGUGGCACGGUCUAGACCCGAAGCGGAGUGAUCUACCCAUGGCCAGGUUGAAGCGCGUGUAAGAGCGUGUGGAGGACCGAACCCACUUCAGUUGAAAAUGGAGGGGAUGAGCUGUGGGUAGGGGUGAAAGGCCAAUCAAACUCUGUGAUAGCUGGUUCUCCCCGAAAUGCAUUUAGGUGCAGCGUUGCGUGUUGCUUGCCUGAGGUAGAGCUACUGGUUGGCUGAUGGGCCUUAUCGGGUUACUGACGUCAGCCAAACUCCGAAUGCGGGUAAGUGUAAGCGCAGCAGUGAGACAGUGGGGGAUAAGCUUCAUUGUCGAGAGGGAAACAGCCCAGACCAUCAACUAAGGCCCCUAAGCGUGUGCUAAGUGGGAAAGGAUGUGGAGUUGCUGAGACAACCAGGAGGUUGGCUUAGAAGCAGCCACCCUUGAAAGAGUGCGUAAUAGCUCACUGGUCAAGUGAUUCUGCGCCGAUAAUGUAGCGGGGCUCAAGUACACCGCCGAAGUUGUGGCAAUAGCAUGUAUGUGUUAUUGGGUAGGGGAGCGUCGUGUAGCCAGUGAAGUCGCCGGGUGACCGAGUGGUGGAGGCUACGCGAGUGAGAAUGCAGGCAUGAGUAGCGAAUGAUGCGUGAGAAACGUAUCCGCCGAAUGAUCAAGGGUUCCAGGGUCAAGCUAAUCUGCCCUGGGUUAGUCGGGGCCUAAGGCGAGGCCGACAGGCGUAGUCGAUGGAUAACGGGUUGAUAUUCCCGUACCGAUUUCAAACCGCCCAUACCAAGCUGGGGAUACUAACCACUUCGGGCCGCCAUUUUACCGGGUUCUCAUCCUUCGGGGUGAGGGUCUUGGUGUGGUGGUUCCGCGUGGGACCUGAUCCGGUGCGGUAAACGCAUUAACAGGUGUGACACAGGAAGGUAGCCAAGCCACGCGGUGGUUGUCGUGGUCUAAGCGUGUAGGACGGGGAGUUGUUAAAUGCGCUUCCCGCAACAGGUCUGAGACGUGAUGGGACCCCCUUUUGUGGGGGGAUUUGGUGAUCCUAUGCUGUCGAGAAAAGCAUCGGCGUGAGGUUUGUGAAUUGCCCGUACCCUAAACCGACACAGGUGAUCAGGUAGAGAAUACUAAGGCGAUCGAGAUAAUCAUGGUUAAGGAACUCGGCAAAAUGCCCCCGUAACUUCGGGAGAAGGGGGGCCCUGAGCGUGAACUGCCCGUGCGGUGGGGAGCGUGUAGGGGUCGCAGAGACCAGGGGGAAGCGACUGUUUAUCAAAAACACAGGUCCGUGCGAAGUCGCAAGACGAUGUAUACGGACUGACUCCUGCCCGGUGCUGGAAGGUUAAGAGGACCCGUUAGCUUUUUUGGCGAAGCGGAGAAUUUAAGCCCCAGUAAACGGCGGUGGUAACUAUAACCAUCCUAAGGUAGCGAAAUUCCUUGUCGGGUAAGUUCCGACCUGCACGAAUGGAGUAACGACUUCCCUACUGUCUCAACCAUGAACUCGGCGAAAUUGCAGUACGAGUAAAGAUGCUCGUUACGCGCAGCAGGACGGAAAGACCCCGUGACCUUUACUAUAGUUUGGUAUUGGUGUUCGGUGUGGCUUGUGUAGGAUAGGUGGGAGACUGUGAAGCUAUCACGCUAGUGGUGGUGGAGUCGUUGUUGAAAUACCACUCUGGUCAUAUUGGAUAUCUAACUUCGGCCCAUGAUCUGGGUCAGGGACAGUGCCUGAUGGGUAGUUUAACUGGGGCGGUUGCCUCCUAAAGAGUAACGGAGGCGCCCAAAGGUUCCCUCAGCCUGGUUGGCAAUCAGGUGGCGAGUGUAAGUGCACAAGGGAGCUUGACUGUGAGACUGGCAGGUCGAGCAGGGACGAAAGUCGGGACUAGUGAUCCGGCGGUACAUUGUGGAAUGGCCGUCGCUCAACGGAUAAAAGGUACCUCGGGGAUAACAGGCUGAUCUUGCCCAAGAGUCCAUAUCGACGGCAUGGUUUGGCACCUCGAUGUCGGCUCGUCGCAUCCUGGGGCUGGAGUUGGUCCCAAGGGUUGGGCUGUUCGCCCAUUAAAGCGGUACGCGAGCUGGGUUCAGAACGUCGUGAGACAGUUCGGUCCCUAUCCGCUGCGUGCGUUGGAAAUUUGUGGAGACCUGUCCUUAGUACGAGAGGACCGGGACGGACGAACCUCUGGUAUGUCAGUUGUACCGCCAGGUGCAUGGCUGAUUGGCUACGUUCGGCAGAGAUAACCGCUGAAAGCAUCUAAGCGGGAAGCUUGCUUCGAGAUGAGAUUUCCUGACCCUCUUUGUGGGGGUGUGAGGCUCCCUGUAGAUGACGGGGUUGAUAGGCCAGGUAUGGAAGCGUCGACUAACGAGGCGUGAAGUUGACUGGUACUAAUAGGCCGAAGACUUAUCACA
This 3136-nucleotide ribosomal RNA is filed under the name Rothia santali. RNAcentral's name for it is "Bacterial large subunit ribosomal RNA". It matches the Rfam family "Bacterial large subunit ribosomal RNA". Lineage: Bacteria; Bacillati; Actinomycetota; Actinomycetes; Micrococcales; Micrococcaceae. The record is from Rfam by way of RNAcentral.